GGGAAUCGAGGGCGCCGCUCGCUGCUGCCGUGUCGCGAUCCUCAAGGUAACUCUUCCUUUCGGCCGCGGGGAAUAACGCGCUCGUGUGUGUUGCCAACAAAAUCUAACAGGCACGGAGCGGGGUCGUGGAGGUUCAGUUCAGAGUGGUGUCGAAGGGAAUAUCUAAACUGUAAAUUGCACUGCUUAGGCAGAAGCGGAUUGUUAUCACCUAAAUUUUACUGCUGGCUGUGAGUUUUCUAGUCGAAAGGGAUGUGACAGAUGUGAGAGGAAGCCCCUCAAACAGCUGAGAAGGGAACAGCAAGACAGGAAAGGGAGAUGAGGAAGCUGAAGAUGUAUGUAGAAAUAAGAAAAAAAUUGAAGUCCGGAGUUCAAAUUUGUUCUGAAUACUUGCUAUUAUAUUAAAUGGGGGAUGACUGGAAGUUGCUUAAUAAGUGUCUGGAUCUUCCUUGAUUUACUGCAUCAAAGGCAGUAAAAUGAUCAAGAACUGAUAGCACACAGCUGCACUGCAGGAUGUUAUUCCUCAUGACAAGCAUUGUGUCCUCCCUCUGCUCACCGUUAAGCAGCGGUGUCCUGCUGCUGGCAGAGUUGAUGCAGCCUCUCGCUGGUUCCCCACGGUCUGGCUGUACCCUGGGGCUGGAUUUCAGAUCCCAGCUCUCUAUGCAGUACUUAUUCUCAAAGCUUUGUUGAGAUAUUCUUGAAGAAAGUAAUUUGAAUAUGAGUGAAGCGCAGAUAGGAGUUGUGCCACAGUUCUUGACUGGCAGUUCUGUUCUUCGAACUACCUGCCGUGCUUUUGUUCCUCAUGCUAAAAUGUGAUUAGCUCACGCUCCUUGGAAGUACAGUUAAAGUCAGCAGAAGGAUUACAGAUCUCUUGCGGUUCUCAGCUCUUACUUCUGAAGUGCUUUUCAUGUCAAUGUCAACACUUAUCUAUUUCCAAAGAAUACUUAUGUUAAUAAGAUUGGAUGUUUGUGAAUGUGCAUGUCGUUUGCACUCUGUUCCCAUUGGGUUGUUUAGGCUUGUUUAUUUACAGUCACCGAUCUGCUCUCCAACAGUCACCAUUAGGUUGCAGGCAUUAAAUGCCUCUGUAGUCCUGUCUGCUUUCUCACCCUUAGGAAGACUGUCACAGCUGCCUUGAGUUCUGCAGCCUCCACUUCUUUACCUACAGCUGUCUAGGAUCAGGUUGCUCUCUCGCAAGGUUCAGCUUUGAGUCUUGAUCAGCCUUGAUGAAAGGAUGCAGUUUGGGGAUGGUUCCAUGUAUCUUGUUGGCCUUCUGGAUGCUGGCCUGGGCAGCACUGAGGUCCCAGCGUGGGCUUGCAGAGCAAUGACUGUUUGACUUAUUUUCUGUUGCACACUCUAAUGCUGAGAGAACUGAGCUGAGGCUCCUGAUUAAUGCUGUCCUGUAGACUUGUUCCUUAUGAGUUAUUAUGAUGGGAAGAAUGGCUAUAGAGCUUGGCUGAGAAAUGUGGAGGAGUGCUCUGGAAACUGAUGUCUUCACGCAGAAGCUAGCAUGGAGAGCUGAGGCCUGAUGUCUGGUCCAUGCAAGUUGCAGUUGUUGAAAGAGCUGUCAAAUCUUUUGGCCUUUCCCUACAUUUCUGGUGCUGUUACUGCACUCUUCACUCAACUGGGCAGCAGUCUGAAACAACUGAACAAAGGGACUUGAGAGGAUGUACCGGCAGGAGCUGUUAUCUCUGACAUCACGGGGCCUUCACAAGUUUAUAUCUUGGAGCGGUCCGUCGGAAAACUGUUGGCUUCCUUCUGCAGUGCUGUAGUGAAAUUCUUAGUGUUCAGCUUCUUUUAUUAAAGGCUUUUAUAUUUCUUUCUCUGUAGUAAACCAGCGCAUGUACUAUUAGCCGAGGCUGCUCAAGUUUCCUUGUCACGCUGCAUCAGUUCUAUUGGUUUGUAUCUUAACAGAAGUAACUUUACACAAUAGCGGGCAUGUCUUUGCUAUGGAAAAAGUUAUCAGUAGGUAAGAGACCUUCUAUUUAAGCCCUACAAUGUUAUUUUCUUGUGAGGCUAAAUAAAAGCUUUGGGCAGGAGCUCCUGUAAUUAAAGUAAGUCUUCCAAACCGAACUACCAAAGAACAUAACAAAUUUAAUGUUUGUGUACAGUGCUUUCUAUCCAAAGAGAGAUGGGGUAAACACUGUCUAAGCAUCUCUAGCCUGCCAAAUGGAAGGUAGCCCAUGGAGAUAUCAAUACUGCAUAGAAAAUACACCAAACCUGAAAUUAUGAUUUGUUCAAAUGGGUUUGCUGCUGGUGGCUAAAUAUUGUUCUUUGCUAUUUCUUUUGGUGUUAGAAACUGAUAUUUUAAUCAUGCUGGCCUAUGAUCAGCUGCAUAGAAGAAUAGUUCCUCCAGCUAGUCGCUGUACAGAUGUAGUUGUACUAAAUACAUCUUAUUGCUGUUUCACUGUAAUUGACUGUUAAUGGAUUGCCAUCUGAGCGUGCUGUCUGGUAUCGACUACUGUUUUUCCUGAAAUUGAUUGCUUUUCACUGUUAGCUCAAUCUCUUGCCAACCUUAACUGUUUUAAGAUAGCUUUCCCAAUUCCCAUAAUUUUGUGUCCUGUUAUUUUGAGUUCAUCUAUGUUCUCCUUUUAGUUCUUGCUUUGUCUCAAUUAUGCACUUGCCCUCCCAGCCUCCCAGUUGAGUCUGCCUUUAAGGUCUUAAGACUGUUUUCAAAACAUGCCUUCUUGCACUACUUGGUGCGUAGUUCUUGCUGCUGUCCUUUUCCUUGCUCUGUUGCUACUACUAUGCUCUUUUCUGUGCUAUAAGAGAAGUUCAUGAAAGUGAACCUACUGACUGGAGACUUGUUAGAAAACAGUGUUUUGUAGCUGAAAAUUUGCUCUAUCAAAUAGUGUUCCUGUGCUCUCUUUAUUGAUUAUAGUUUCCAUGAAAAUAAAUAGGAAGCAUUAGUUUUGGAGCAACUUAUGCAGCUCAAGACAAUUCCACUUUACUCACUGUGGCCCAGGCAAGCCAAAAGGUUGGACACUAAUGGCUUAUGGCAUGUCUUCUGCUCACCCACUCAAACCUCCUCCAUUCUUCAGACUAAUUUUUUUCUUCUGCCUUCUGUGCCAUACUGCAUGGCUUUUAUUAUUCUUCUUUCCCCUAAGUACUGUUUUUACUGAUUUGUUAGAUGCAAUGUCUUCAGAGUAAAUGGAACAGAUGUGUGCAUGGACAUAUCUGCAUGGGACAGUCUUUGAUGUUUGCAUGUGUACAAUCUCUGAAAUCCCGCUUCUGACAUAUGUAAUUCUGGUGCUGCUCAGCAUAUCAGAAAUUGAAGCCAUACUGAAAGGCCUAGCUUCAGGGAAAUCAAAACACCUGUGUUGAACCUAAGCAGUCAGCCCCUGUGACUUUUGCAUGGAGUACAUCUCUGCUUGGGGGAAGCUUGUGGGAAUAGCACUCGUCCUCAGCAGACCAUGUUUUUGUGGUAGUACAAGCAGUUUAGACUCUGACUUGUUCCUGCAAGUGGGCAAGCCAAAUACAGACAGAAAGAAGCUAGGUUACUAGAAAAGCUGCCUCCUGAGUGCUCUGCUUGUGACUGGGCGGACUUUUGUGCAUGUACUGAGGUAGGUAGCAGAUUUUCAGCAGACAUCAUAACAAGUUUACCACUCUGUCUACUGAGCUGCGAUAAUCAAGGGAGACAAACAGAGCUUCUUCCAAAGGUGUAUGGGAGCUGUACCUCUUAAAAGCAUACUUGAGACAUGUAGUGUCAGUCUUUUACCUUUGAAUUCUGCUAGCAUCAAACUUGUAUGCAUUUCUUUCCCAUAGGGAACAACUUUUUCCUAAUAUUUCUCUCCCCUCUCUGCUCUGUAGAUAUUACCACUGUUCGUGGUACAGACUGCAGUCUCCUAAAUGCUGCAUUCUUCCUUAUGUACUGUUCCAUUAUUAAGGCUGAAAAAAUGUUUCUCCUGAUCAAAGCAUAUGCUGGUUGUUUCAUGGCAGCUCAACUCUCCACAGCCAGUUUGCAAGAAAUUAACUCAAUCUGGAUGUGUUAAAAGCUAACUUUCUCAGAACUAAGGGAAGAGAAUAGAUAAAUGCAAGUCUGCUGUGGUAUCUGCAAACAGUGCUCAGAAAACAGGUCUAACUGGAGCGUGUGAUUACACAGUCAGACUGGGGGGAACUGUGGUGAGGGGUGGUGAGUAGAGGAGUUCCCAUAGCUGCUGCAAGCGUGUCUCAGUCCUCUAAGACUCUCCUGGAGCAAAUAAAUUGGACGAUUAACUUGUUACCAUGAUGGGUGUUGAGCCCGACCUCCCAUCUCUUCAAAAAUACCAUGCUAAAACAAAACUCAACUUCCAUAGCAUUGUAGAACAUUUGUUUUCUUUUCAAUCUGCUGUAACUGUGUGGUAUGUUGGGUAGGUGGUGGGUGUCAGGGUAUGAUAUGUCCCUGCACUUACAGAGGUCUCAUUGCUGAAUCUUUUCCUUUUCAAGAUGAUGUACUUAACACAGAGAAGAAAGGACUAAGAACUCAUGCUCAACCAAAUGUGAAGGCCUUCUUAAGCUAGUUGCUGUCUUCGAAGCCAGGUGUACAUGAAGCAUACCCUAAGGUGGUUGUUGCAUGGUUUGUGUGUUAGCAGGUGCCUUGGUGGGUGUUGCUAAAGAUUGUGUUCCAGGCUACAGUUGAUAUCUAAAACCAGAUCUGUGGGAAGGGGUUGGAGACAUUCAUCUGGCUUUCCUUUUGGCUUCUGUCUUGACAUCCUUCUGCAGUAAUCAGCUCUUUCUUUGCUAUUGUUGUGGUUGUUGUUGAAUGAGAAAUACACGGUGUGCUGUGUCCAGGAUUUGUGCCUUCAACAUGCCAGCACACUGUUUGUUGUCUCCAGGAAAUCAGACUCUAAUUCAGAGCUGUAAUUUUUUUUUCUGUAAUACAGAAAAGUAAUUACAGAAGCUCUUCUGCCUUUGAGGGGCAUUCCUGGACCUGUUACCAGCUUUUGCAGGUGCUUGGUAGAAAUCUUGAAGUAUGGGGCUAAUGUAACUAUGAAGAUGUGUUGUGAAUAAAUAAUAAUAGCUGUUGCCUUUUGAACUUCCUGGGAGAGACUGAUAUUUUGACAUUUGAGGGCUUCAAUGGUAAGGUUAGCUUCCUGAUGUACAGAAACUCCUGGCAACACAGUAGCCUCUCUAUAGAUUUUCUUCAAGGGGCAAACUGGUAACUUUGCUCCUCUGGCCUCUCUAGUAAGAGGGAGGAGCCUCAGAAACUGCUGGAGAGUCGCUUGAAGAGAUUUGACAUACACAAUUGUUGGGUGUACUGAAGCAUUGACAAGCUCUCUAAAAUGUCUGGACUUAUUUCAUGAAAAGCAGAAAACCUUCAAAGAAACUUGGUCUAUGUGUUAUGGAAUGCUCUGUUGAAGUUCCUGGAAA
Molecule: long non-coding RNA, 5343 nt
Organism: Gallus gallus (chicken)
Lineage: Eukaryota; Metazoa; Chordata; Aves; Galliformes; Phasianidae
Exons: 5
Source: RefSeq, a predicted model, not a curated record